UACGAAGGGGGCUAGCGUUGCUCGGAAUCACUGGGCGUAAAGGGUGCGUAGGCGGGUCUUAAGUCGGGGGUGAAAUCCUGGAGCUCAACUCCAGAACUGCCUUUGAUACUGAAGAUCUUGAGUUCGGGAGAGGUGAGUGGAACUGCGAGUGUAGAGGUGAAAUUCGAUAGAUAUUCGCAGGAACACCAGUGGCGAAGGCGGCUCACUGGUCCGAUACUGACGCUGAGGUGCGAAAGCGUGGGGAGCAAACAGGG
RNAcentral lists this ribosomal RNA (254 nucleotides) under uncultured bacterium. Its description in RNAcentral is "partial 16S ribosomal RNA". It matches the Rfam family "Bacterial small subunit ribosomal RNA", at positions 524 to 777 of the family's 1533-position model. The record is from RNAcentral.